GAUGAGACUAUUGAGAACACAGAAG
Molecule: non-coding RNA, 25 nt
Filed under: Cricetulus griseus (Chinese hamster)
Lineage: Eukaryota; Metazoa; Chordata; Mammalia; Rodentia; Cricetidae
Source: RNAcentral